This 288-nucleotide long non-coding RNA is filed under the name Piliocolobus tephrosceles (Ugandan red Colobus). RNAcentral's name for it is "lncRNA (ENSPTEG00000027869.1)". Lineage: Eukaryota; Metazoa; Chordata; Mammalia; Primates; Cercopithecidae. The record is from RNAcentral.
UGAAGAGCAUGAGAACACACUGAGACCAGCAGAAAGGAGCCCUCUCUGAACCGCUUCAUUACAUCUGUACCUCAAACCUAAUGAAGAGGAAUGCUGAUCCAGUUGGUGGGACUCACAUGGACUGAACUUUAAGAAUCAUAUUCAUUGAAAUUUGAGCAAAUUACCAGUAGAUGAUGGCCUUGCGACUUUUCCACAGGUAGGACUUUUAGACUAGCUUCAUUUUUUUAAGAUGAUAAACUUUAUGCUGCCAAAUACUGAAUAACUGUACAUUGAGUGAUUAUAAAAUUA